AGUGAACGCUGGCGGUAGGCCUAACACAUGCAAGUCGAACGGCAGCACAGUAAGUUCUUGCUCUUACGGUUUGCGAGUGGCGUACGUGUGAGGUAUACAUCGGAAUCUACUUUUUCUUGGGUGUUUACGUAGGUAAACUUACUCUAAUACCUCAUACGUCCUACGGUUGAAUGCAGUUGUUCUUCGGACCUUGCGCGUUUGAAUGAGCCGAGGUCGGAUUAGCUAGUUGGCGGGGUAAAGGCCCACCAAGGCGACGAUCCGUAGCUGGUCUGACAGGAUGAUCAGACACACGGGAAGUGAGACACGGUCCAGAGUACUACGGGAGGCAGCAGUGGGGAAUAGUGGACAAUGGGCGAAAGCCUGAUACAGCAAUACCGAGUGGGAGAAGAAGGCGUUCGGGUUGUAAAGCCAGUUUGUUGGGAAAGAAAAGCAGCAGGAUAAAACCCCGCUGUACUGACGGUAACCAAAGAAAAAGCACCGGCUAACUACGUG
Molecule: ribosomal RNA, 492 nt
Filed under: uncultured bacterium
Lineage: Bacteria
Description: partial 16S ribosomal RNA
Rfam family: Bacterial small subunit ribosomal RNA
Source: RNAcentral